UAUCAUCCUACAAAAACUUUAUAUCCUACAAGUGAGGGGAUUGGGUAGUCUAAGCCUAGAUCUGACAUAUCAUAAGGAAUUUACCCUUAACUAGGUCAUGCUUGUAUAUUAUCUUACAUAUCUCGAAAUUGUUUGGGUUUCCCAUGCUAAUUAUUAUCCCUAUCUAUAAGGAACCUUCUUAAACAAGGCAUCCUUAUAUUUGGCAUUAUCCUUAAACCCAUAUGUGGGUUUUAUAUCCAUCAUAAUCCCUAAACCUGUGUGGGUUCUCCU
This 270-nucleotide long non-coding RNA is filed under the name Lathyrus oleraceus (garden pea). RNAcentral's name for it is "Pisum sativum (pea) long non-coding RNA (PSAT_LNC020083)". Lineage: Eukaryota; Viridiplantae; Streptophyta; Magnoliopsida; Fabales; Fabaceae. The record is from RNAcentral.